Molecule: long non-coding RNA, 205 nt
Organism: Neopsephotus bourkii (Bourke's parrot)
Lineage: Eukaryota; Metazoa; Chordata; Aves; Psittaciformes; Psittacidae
Exons: 3
Source: RefSeq, a predicted model, not a curated record
CCACAGCCUGAUGGUGGUGGAAGAGGCAGAGCAGGAGGAAGAGCAGAGAGGCGAAGAGGAGGAAGAGGAGGGCAGGGGCUGCCUCUGGGACGUCUUUGACAGCAUGUUGAACAUGAAGCCCCAGGAUGGGUGAUCAAGGACCCCAACGCAUCCCCCUGCGGUGACACGGAGCAGUUUGGAGCCUGUUUAUCGCCGUUAUGAGACC